Molecule: long non-coding RNA, 1622 nt
Organism: Phoenix dactylifera (date palm)
Lineage: Eukaryota; Viridiplantae; Streptophyta; Magnoliopsida; Arecales; Arecaceae
Source: RefSeq, a predicted model, not a curated record
UACUUUUUGAUAAAUUUAUUUAACUGAAUUAUUAAAUCAUUGUCUUAAGCUGAGAAUAUGAUUUAGCUUCUUCAAUCCCAUAUUUCUUAUUUUAAGCUUCUUUCCAUAUAUUUUUUUCUGGAUUUUUCUUUCUUUUAGAGCGAGGAUGAUUUUGGUAUUCCUAUUUUUGUAUUCAAGUAUUUUAUUUUUCUUGAUUUGUAUAUAUGCUUUAACAUUCCUUUUGGUUAUUACUUGUUUUAUGUAUGAUUCUUCUCUUUUGUUAGUUUUGCCUUACUCUAGUUAUAUCUUUUUGCCUUUUUUUCCUGGUCUGAUCCUCCUUUUUUAUAAGUUUGAUUUGCUGAAUUAUUAAACAAUGUGCAUUCAAAUAUGUACCUUUUUUUUCCAAAUUAUCAAGCUUCUUCAGCCCCAUAAAGUGGCUGUGCUUUUAGGUUUCUUUCGCUAUACUUCUUCUUUUUUUUUUUCUUUUUUUGAUGAUGUCAAAAUAUAUCAAUUCUUUAUUGUUUGUGCAUGAGUCUCCAGUUUUCUUAAUCUUUUAGGCUUCUUGAGGACAAAAGUUUUCAUCUAAUCUUGUAUUUCCUUUCUUCUCCUUCUCCUUGGAUUGGUCUGAGAUUGUUAUGAACUGCAACAGAUCAAACCCUAGAGACCCAUUUUGGCAACUUUCUGGACCAUGUCAUGAUAUCUCUCUUUGUUUUCAAUUAGACAUAUUUCUUCUUUUCUAAGCCUGAGAUUUCUACUAGGUCUAACCAUGGGAAUCAAGUGCACCUGUUGUGAUUUCAGAUCAAACACAAGAAAAUAGACUUUAAUCAGAAAAUCUUUGUAAUAUUCUUUUUUGUUCUUUGCAGAGAUCAUAGAUACUAAGAUCCCUUUCCACAAUCACUUUUUUCCCCUUAGGUAUUUCAAGGCCCUUGUGAAAAAAUUUCCUUUCUAUGCUUGAAAACUAUGGAGCUCUUGGUUGGGCUUUCAAACUAAUAUUUUAUGCCUGAGUAAGGGUUAUAAUUCAUUUUGUCAGUCACUUUUUUUUUAAUCAGAUGAAGCUGGACAUAAAGCAACCACAAGGUGUGCUUAUGUUGGUUAAAGCUCAAAUCUGCAUCAUAGAUGCCAUGUGCAGAUGAACUAGAAUGAGAGGAACGAAUCAUAUAGAUCAACUAGUUUUAGUGACCUCAGAUGCUGUUCUUGAUGAUUUCCAGUUUUUCCUUCAUCCUCCCUUCUGGUGAUCUCAACCGACAAAUGCACUCACUUUGUAAGAUGCCGUUGCUUUGCGUGUCUCUCCCUAAAGUGUAGCAUACCCUGCUGUAUCUCUUAAAAAGAAGCAGCAUACCGAAACAUUUUGUACAUUUCCACAUUCAAUGCAGUGUAAAGACAGAGUUCCAACAUACUAAUGGACAAUGUAACAUAGGGAAGCAAUGAACAAGCCAAUCUUACGCCGAAGGCAUUCACCAAGAAGUUUUGAGACCCCAAAUAAAUUAGUUGAGAUGAAAAUUUAACCAGCUUGCCAUGUGAAAGUUUAGUCCUGCUGUAUCUUAGGGAGGGGAAGAAUUUGUAGAAGCAGAGGAUGGAAGAUCACAACAAGAUGUAGAAGGCAAUCGAAUGCUAAAGCUUCAAGAAUAAGUACAUUAUGUUAA